GCCCUUAGAGUCCUCAGCACGGGCGCCUCAGAUCACCAGGACAAAGACCUAGAGAGAGGUCCCUCGGCCAGACUUGGAUCUUUGGACUUCAGGUCUGUGUUCUUCCAAGACCAAGAAAAAGGUGCAAAACGGGGGUCUGUGAGGCUCGGGUUGUUUUCUGCGGUCAGUGGUGGCUUAAGGGAUUGUUCAGUCUUUCUUGACCCACCGCCGUGAGCCCUUAGUGUGACUGGAGCUGCUAUUGAUCCUCCCAGGUACUUGUCAGCACCAUCUCAUUUAAUCUGAUCUACGACGCCACGAGACAGGUUCCGUUAUUAAUCCCAU
This 321-nucleotide long non-coding RNA is filed under the name Ictidomys tridecemlineatus (thirteen-lined ground squirrel). Its description in RNAcentral is "lncRNA (ENSSTOG00000031292.1)". The record is from RNAcentral. Lineage: Eukaryota; Metazoa; Chordata; Mammalia; Rodentia; Sciuridae.